Molecule: ribosomal RNA, 331 nt
Filed under: uncultured Glomus
Lineage: Eukaryota; Fungi; Glomeromycota; Glomeromycetes; Glomerales; Glomeraceae
Description: SSU rRNA
Rfam family: Eukaryotic small subunit ribosomal RNA
Source: RNAcentral
AGCAGCCGCGGUAAUUCCAGCUCCAAUAGCGUAUAUUAAAGUUGCUGCAGUUAAAAAGCUCGUAGUUGAAUUUCGGGACCAUCAUGUCGGUCGUGCCUCGGUACGUACUGGUAUUGUUGGUUUCUCCCUUCUGACGAACCAUGAUGUCAUUUAUUUGGUGUUGUGGGAAUCAGGACUGUUACUUUGAAAAAUUAGAGUGUUUAAAGCAGGCUCACGCUUGAAUACAUUAGCAUGGAAUAAUGAAAUAGGACGUUUGAUUCUAUUUUGUGGUUUCUAGGAUCGACGUAAUGAUUAAUAGGGAUAGUUGGGGCAUUAGUAUUCAAUUGUCAGA